RNAcentral lists this ribosomal RNA (460 nucleotides) under uncultured bacterium. RNAcentral's name for it is "partial 16S ribosomal RNA". It matches the Rfam family "Bacterial small subunit ribosomal RNA", at positions 338 to 795 of the family's 1533-position model. The record is from RNAcentral.
CCUACGGGGGGCAGCAGUGAGGAAUAUUGGUCAAUGGCCGGAAGGCUGAACCAGCCAAGCCGCGUGAGGGAGGAAGGCGCAGAGCGUCGCAGACCUCUUUUGCCGGGGGACAAAAGGCCGGACUCGUCCGGUCCUGAGGGUACCCGGAGAAAAAGCAUCGGCUAACUCCGUGCCAGCAGCCGCGGUAAUACGGAGGAUGCGAGCGUUAUCCGGAUUCAUUGGGUGUAAAGGGAGCGUAGACGGCACUGCAAGUCCGGAGUGAAAGCCCAAGGCUUAACCAUGGGACUGCUCUGGAAACUGUGGAGCUUGAGUGCGGGAGGGGCAGGCGGAAUUCCUAGUGUAGCGGUGAAAUGCGUAGAUAUUAGGAGGAACACCGGCGGCGAAGGCGGCCUGCUGGACCGUAACUGACGUUGAGGCUCGAAAGCGUGGGGAGCAAACAGGAUUAGAUACCCUUGUAGUC